Molecule: ribosomal RNA, 494 nt
Filed under: uncultured bacterium
Lineage: Bacteria
Description: partial 16S ribosomal RNA
Rfam family: Bacterial small subunit ribosomal RNA
Source: RNAcentral
GAUGAACGCUGGCGGCGUGCCUAAUACAUGCAAGUCGAGCGAACGGACGAGAAGCUUGCUUCUCUGAUGUUAGCGGCGGACGGGUGAGUAACACGUGGAUAACCUACCUAUAAGACUGGGAUAACUUCGGGAAACCGGAGCUAAUACCGGAUAAUAUUUUGAACCGCAUGGUUCAAAAGUAAAAGACGGCCUUGCUGUCACUUAUAGAUGGAUCCGCGCUGCAUUAGCUAGUUGGUAAGGUAACGGCUUACCAAGGCAACGAUGCAUAGCCGACCUGAGAGGGUGGGCGGCCCCACGGGAACUGGGCCCGGGUCCGGACUCGUAGGGGGGGCAGCAGGAGGGAAUCUCCCGAAGGGGGGGAAAGCCUGAAGGAGCACCCCCGGGUGGGUAUGGAAGGUCUUGGGAUGGAAAACCUCUUUUAUUGGGAAAAAAAAUUUGGUAAAGUAACUGGGCAAAUCUUGGCGGUCCCUAAUCAGAAACCCCCGGUUAACUAC